Brassica napus (rape) is the source of this 1534-nucleotide long non-coding RNA. RefSeq lists it as uncharacterized. NCBI's taxonomy places the organism in Eukaryota, Viridiplantae, Streptophyta, Magnoliopsida, Brassicales, Brassicaceae. The record is from RefSeq and is a predicted model, not a curated record. The transcript is spliced from 3 exons.
UACUUUCCAAACAGAAGUCUCUACGGCUCUACCUCUUCGUCUUCUUCGCUUGAUACCACAAAUAUUCAGCUUGAUUGAUCCACUUCUGUAUAAUCAAUACUCCACUACAUCUCGAUCAAUCAAUUUUUUCUUAAUGAUUUCGUUUCGAUUUUCUCUUUUCCUCCUUCUUUAUAUACUCAUUUUCUUCCUGUGUACAAAUCAAACCCUAGAACUUCUCUAACUUCAAUCUAUGGUGAUGAAACCAAAUGGGAAAUCCCCUAUCACCUCCGAGGAUCUCAGCCGCCGCUACUCCCACCAGCUCAUCUCCGUCGUCGUUUACUGCCACUCACGCGGCGUAAGCUGAUGGGCGUGGAUAUGCUACCUAUUGAUCCAAGGCAAUGUUCACCUUCUUAACACCUUUAAACCAAAGCCGCAACGAAGCAGGAAACUACCGGAGCUUGGCUGAGAUCGCCAUGAAAGCAUAGAAGCAAUAUCCAGCCAACGAAUUUACUUUAUUAAUCUCAGGCUUUAAAAAAGAGUUUACAGACUUAACGUAGGAUGGUUAUCGUGAAUGCAAUAUACCUUGCCCUGUUUGUUGUUCUAUCGCCUGUCUCACCUAAUAAUAUGUCUCAUAAUUUUUUUUUGGUCAUUUUUAUUGUGCCUCACAGUCAGUAAUGUUUCUUUCAUUCAUCACGCCAUUUUCAGGCUCAAAAGGAACGAAUGAAGCAAGAAAUUACAGGAACGGAUCCCACAACAGCCUAACGCCACCAAAAGACGCAAGUAAAAGGCUUCCUCUGGUGAUGAGCUACAAAAUCAAAGGGAUGACAAACGAAUUUGAAGAGUUGGGCAGUCCACAAAGAGAGAGAUGAUGCUGUCACUGCCAAGGAAUUAUCGACAUCUUGAAAAUUUUAAGAGAAGGAAAAGGGCACUAAUGCCCGAGUUGGGGAGCCUGUUCAUGGUUCUAUUGGCAAGAACCGAGAUGUAACUGAAGAGAAGAGUAGCUUUGACCUUGCAGAAACCAAAUAUGGAAACACGGUUGAGAAACGCAGUUAGUAAACUUUUCAAACUUCUAAUGCCCACGGAGAAAUACACCACAGGAGUAAAGAACAUGGUGCUUGAGACACUGUCUUCUGCAAAAAUUGAAGGCUUUGUGGAUGGAUUCAGAGGUGAAACCAAAGCGGCCAGAACGGAAAAAACGGUGGACAAGUAGUUGAGAAUCAUAAGCUGGAGAUGAAGUAAAGAGCAAUGAAAUGGCAUCUUUGGCUAGAUCGAGGGAAAAUCUGAUGCUUCAUGUAGCCUCUUAUGUUUCAUGUAGCCUCUUAUGUUUAGACGUAUGACAUGAGAUUUUCUCAUCCCACGGAUCAGUUGUGCCGGUAGCGACAAGGAGUAUCAAGUUCAAUGCAGACCAAUUAGGAGAUUAAGAAGAGUGUAUGUGGGGGAGAGAGGCUGUGCUGUGUAAGAAUAGGGAGAGGGAAUACUCAUAAGGAUGAAUUUUAGAGAAUUUUGUUGUAGUCAUUGUAGUCAUAAACGGUUAAUUUCAUUAGUUUUCCCAACA